This 1476-nucleotide ribosomal RNA is filed under the name Chthonomonas sp. Its description in RNAcentral is "partial 23S ribosomal RNA". It matches the Rfam family "Bacterial large subunit ribosomal RNA", at positions 1404 to 2925 of the family's 2925-position model. The record is from RNAcentral. Lineage: Bacteria; Bacillati; Armatimonadota; Chthonomonadia; Chthonomonadales; Chthonomonadaceae.
AGAAGGCGUAGCCGAUGGACAUCCGGUUGAAAUUCCGGACCUUGGUGCAGUAGUGAUGGAGGGACGCUUCUUGAUGUUUCAUCCCACACCGUUGGUUGUUGUGGGCUACCGGGAUAACCCAGCUGUUUAAUAGAUGGCUUUUCAAAGGGUGGGGCCGGGGGGAAGGGAUUGCUUCGGCAUGAACGAACUGGGACUGAGGGGGCCGAGAAAAGCUUCUAAACUUAUACUGCAUCAAACCGUACUGCAAACCGACACAGGUAGGUGAGUCGAGGAGACUAAGGCGUUCGAGAGAACUCUCGUUAAGGAACUAGGCAAACGAGCCCCGUAACUUUGGAAGAAGGGGCGCCCCGCAAGGGGCCGCAGCGAAGCAGCCCAGGCGACUGUUUACCAAAAACACAGGUCUCUGCUAAGGCGAAAGCCGAAGUAUAGGGGCUGACGCCUGCCCAAUGCUCGUAGAUUAAGGGGAGAUGUUAGGGGUAACCCAAAGCAUUGAACUGAAGUCCGAGUGAAUGGCGGCCGUAACUCUAACGGUCCUAAGGUAGCGAAAUUCCUUGUCGGCUAAAUACCGACCCGCAUGAAAGGCGUAACGACUUGGGCACUGUCUCAACGAGAAAUCCGGUGAAUUUGUAGCACCCGUGAAGAUGCGGGUUCCCCGCAGUAGGACGGAAAGACCCCGUGGAGCUUUACUACACCUUCAGAUUGUGAAUUGGAUGUAGAUGUAGAGCGUAGGUGGGAGCUUCGGCACCAAUGGAACACCACCCUUCUAUAUCUGGUUUACUAACCUGCACCGUUAUCCGGUGUGGAAACAGUCUGUGGCGGGUAGUUUGACUGGGGCGGUCGCCUCCCAAAAUGUAACGGAGGCGUACAAAGUUGCACUCAGCCUGGUCGGAAAUCAGGCGCUGAGCGUAUAGGUAUAUAGUGCGAUUGACUGUGAGACCAACAAGUCGAGCAGGUACGAAAGUAGGUCUAAGUGACCCUCUGAUUGUGCGUGGGUACGUCAGGGUUCAACGGAUAAAAGUUACCCCGGGGAUAACAGGCUGAUCUUGCCCGAGCGCUCACAGCGACGGCAUGGUUUGGCACCUCGAUGUCGGCUCGUCUCAUCCUGGGGCUGUAUCAGGUCCCAAGGGUUCCGGAGUUCACGGAUUAAAGAGGCACGCGAGCUGGGUUCAGAACGGCGUGAGCCAGUUCGGUCCCUAUCCACUGCGGGCGUAGGAAAUUUGAGGGGACACGCUCUUAGUACGAGAGGACCGGAGUGUACUGACCUCUGGUGUACCAGUUGUGCCGACAGGCGCAGACGCUGGGUAGCCACGUCGGGCAGCGAUAAGCGCUGAAAGCAUCUAAGCGCCAAGCGCACCCCAAGAUGAGAUUUCCCACUUCGAGGUAAGGACCCAUGAAGACUACAUGGUGAUAGGCCAGGUGUGUAAGCACAGUAAUGUGUUGAGCUGACUGGUACUAAUUGUCCGAGGGCUUGAUAAA